GACGAACGCUGGCGGCGUGCCUAAUACAUGCAAGUAGAACGCACAGUUUAUACCGUAGCUUGCUACACCAUACACUGUGAGUUGCGAACGGGUGAGUAACGCGUAGGUAACCUGCCUGGUAGCGGGGGAUAACUAUUGGAAACGAUAGCUAAUACCGCAUAAUAUUAAUUAUUGCAUGAUAAUUGAUUGAAAGAUGCAAUUGCAUCACUACCAGAUGGACCUGCGUUGUAUUAGCUAGUAGGUGAGGUAACGGCUCACCUAGGCGACGAUACAUAGCCGACAUGAGAGGGUGAUCGGCCACACUGGGACUGAGACACGGCCCAGACUCCUACGGGAGGCAGCAGUAGGGAAUCUUAGGCAAUAGAAGAAAGUCUGACCGAGCAACGCCGCGUGAGUGAAGAAGGUUUUCGGAUCGUAAAGCUCUGUUGUAAGAGAAGAACGGGUGUGAGAGUGGAAAGUUCACAAUGUGACGGUAUCUUACCAGAAAGGGACGGCUAACUACGUG
This 505-nucleotide ribosomal RNA is filed under the name uncultured bacterium. RNAcentral's name for it is "partial 16S ribosomal RNA". It matches the Rfam family "Bacterial small subunit ribosomal RNA", at positions 28 to 507 of the family's 1533-position model. The record is from RNAcentral.